Saimiri boliviensis boliviensis (Bolivian squirrel monkey) is the source of this 841-nucleotide non-coding RNA. NCBI's taxonomy places the organism in Eukaryota, Metazoa, Chordata, Mammalia, Primates, Cebidae. The record is from RefSeq and is a predicted model, not a curated record.
GGCCGCUGGGUCGGCGCCGAUGGGCGGAGGCUGAGGUGGAGGCGGAAGGAGGCGGUGGCGCCCUUCCUGCCGACAGCGUCGGUGUUGCAGUGGGAGCGGGUGGCUUAGUAGCCGUCUACGCCAACCACAUGCAGCGGGGGAAGGAGCGGGACACCGAGCACCGGGCCGUCUGCAACCUGGCCCCUGGGUGAAGUGCUCCGCCGCCCUUGCCUCCAGAAUCCUUGUUGAGUCCAGCGCCUCCUUCCUGUCCAGGAUCACCUUCUGGUGGAUCACAGGGUUGAUAUCCCAGGCUACCACCAGCCCCUGGAGAGCAGUGGCCCCUGCUCCUUAAACAAGGAGGACACGCAGGAACAAGUCAUGCCUGUUUCAGCAAAGAACUGGAAGAAGAAAUGCGCCCAGUCUAGGAACAAGUCAUCAACAAAGAAGGAUUCUGUGACCAAACAUGUGGAGAGGGUUUUUCCCACCAACAGGCAAGCAGUCACUUCUGCAGAUGAAACAAACUGGGUGUCGUCUAAUUCAGUUCUCACUUUCUGUCUGCAGACAGCAUCAGAUUCCACAGGUAAAGGUCUCAGUCCUGUGAGACUGCCUCACUACAUCAGUCCUAAGUCUGAGACUCCAGAACUCUGACCAAUCAACUUCAAAUUGGGGUUCCCAGGACUCCCUCUUUGGGUUAAAUUGAAUUUGCUGGAAUGGCUCAAAAUACUCAUGAAACACACUUAGCAGCAUACUAUGAAUGACCGUACAAAAGGUACAUUUUAAGAGAUGUAUAGUGCAAAGUAUGGGGCUUAGUGGCACAGAGAUUCCAUGCCCUCUCAGGACACACCACCCUCCAGGAACCUCC